CAGAAUGGAUUCAGCUGCUUCAGAAUUAGCAAGAUGAGCCCUGGCAUAGGCAGGUCUCCUUUCCUGACAGCUGAGUCCCAGAGGCAGCUGAAAGCCCUUCUGUUUACAGCCAUCUCCCAGCAGUGCUAACGCUUCUGCUCCAGCACUAGUAAGAAGGGAUUUCUAUGGACAUUUUCCCUGAGUGGGGUAAAGAUUAAAUGGUUUGCCCUGGACCACUGUACAGGCCUCUCCCUAACACUAGAAGGACUGGCUGAGAAAUGAGUAGAUGCAGCACGUGACACGAAGGUGGAAUUCAACAGCCGAUGGAAGAGAUGUUGAUCUAAAUUAUACUUCACUUUAAGGCUAGGUUUUCUCUCCAGGCGAUGUUUAGAGGCACCAGCAAGGAGUGCCCACCCUCAUCAAGCUGAAGGUGAUUUAAGGAGAAGGACAAGAUCUGCACUUUGGGUAAUGGAAAGCAAUUCUUCGCUUCAAGUUUUGUUAUGAAAGAAAAAACCCACUAGUGCUUGCUGGGGGAGGAGGAGCUUGGAGAGUGAGCAAAGGGCUGGGGAGUCAGUUUUACAU
Long non-coding RNA from Parus major (Great Tit), 561 nucleotides. RefSeq lists it as uncharacterized. Lineage: Eukaryota; Metazoa; Chordata; Aves; Passeriformes; Paridae. The transcript is spliced from 3 exons. The record is from RefSeq and is a predicted model, not a curated record.